CGCGGCACCACAAGAACGCGUGGAGCAUGUGGCUUAAUUUGACUCAACGCGGGAAAUCUUACCGGGUCCGGACACACUGAGGAUUGACAGGCAAUAUUAAUUUCGAAUUUCGGUUCGUUAUUAUGUUAAAUAUGCUAGUCCUUUCAUGAUUAUGUGAUAGGUGGUGCAUGGCCGUUCUUAGUUCGUGGAGUGAUCUGUCUGCUUAAUUGCGUUUCACUAAGGGCCUAUAAAUUUACGUGUGUUGCGGCACUUUGACCCCUCUUAUUUAUUUAAGAGCGCGCGUCUUAGUUUGCUUAGCUCACACAAUUAGGUCCUGAAAGCAACGAACGUGACCGCAACCUCUUGUUGCCUUUAUACCAAACAUGUUAUGGAUUUAUUCAUUUCAUGAAAAAAGGCUUUUUAAACUAGAGGGACCGCUGUUACUUUCUUAAACCAGAGGAAGGUUGCGGCAAUAACAGGUCUGUGAUGCCCUUAGAUGUUCCGGGCUGCACACGUGCUACAAUGAUUAUUGCAGUGAGCAUCUCAUUUUUUACACACCGCAUACGCGAGUCCAUUUAUUUCAUCUUUCGGGGUGCUUUUAAAUGUGUAUCUCUGCGAGCGGUAAAGCCUGCUUCGAAAGUAAGUGGGUAAUCAAUUAGAAGUAAUGAUUUCCUUUUUUUAGCACACAUAUAUACGGCGUUUAUACCCGGGCUGCCUUGUUGUAGCUUUUGUGCGUAUAGAUGUUUUUUCCGUAUGUGCGAUUGUCAAUUCAUGGUGGGGACAGACCAUUGUUAAUUGUUGGUCUCGGUCUUAACUAGGAAUGCCUUGUACGGGUCUUUGGUUCAACAAACCACCCGGAAUACGUCCCUGCCCUUUGUACACACCGCCCGUCGCUCUUACCGAUGGACUUCUCUGUGAGUUUGAGGGACUGGGAACGCAUGAUUUAUCACGCACACCUAUGGAAACUUAAACGAACAGUGUGGUCUAAAGGAAAGAGAAGUCGUAACAAGGCAUCGGUAGGUGAACCUGCAGAAGGAUCA
Molecule: ribosomal RNA, 1019 nt
Filed under: Epistominella sp. 2 BBL-2009
Lineage: Eukaryota; Foraminifera; Rotaliida; Pseudoparrellidae
Description: SSU rRNA
Rfam family: Eukaryotic small subunit ribosomal RNA
Source: RNAcentral